This 761-nucleotide ribosomal RNA is filed under the name uncultured bacterium. RNAcentral's name for it is "bacterial SSU rRNA". It matches the Rfam family "Bacterial small subunit ribosomal RNA", at positions 28 to 776 of the family's 1533-position model. The record is from RNAcentral.
GAUGAACGCUAGCUACAGGCUUAACACAUGCAAGUCGAGGGGCAGCAUGAAAGGAACUUCGGUUCUUUUUGAUGGCGACCGGCGCACGGGUGCGUAACGCGUAUCGAACCUGCCUCAUACUCGGGGAUAGCCUUGCGAAAGUAAGAUUAAUACCCGGCGGUCUCGGAUGGCCGCAUGACUAUCCGAGUGAAGAUUUAUCGGUAUGAGAUGGCGAUGCGUCCCAUUAGCUAGUUGGUGAGGUAAUGGCUCACCAAGGCAUCGAUGGGUAGGGGUUCUGAGAGGAAGGUCCCCCACAUUGGAACUGAGACACGGUCCAAACUCCUACGGGAGGCAGCGGUGAGGAAUAUUGGUCAAUGGACGAAAGUCUGAACCAGCCAAGUAGCGUGCAGGAUGACGGCCCUCUGGGUUGUAAACUGCUUUUAGUUGGGAAUAAAAAGAGGGACGUGUCCCUUAUUGUAUGUACCAUCAGAAAAAGGACCGGCUAAUUCCGUGCCAGCAGCCGCGGUAAUACGGAAGGUCCAGGCGUUAUCCGGAUUUAUUGGGUUUAAAGGGAGCGCAGGCGGCGGCGUAAGUCAGUUGUGAAAUCGUGCGGCUUAACCGUGCAAUUGCAGUUGAUACUGCGUCGCUUGAGUGCACACAGGGAUGUUGGAAUUCAUGGUGUAGCGGUGAAAUGCUUAGAUAUCAUGAAGAACUCCGAUUGCGAAGGCAGCCUGCUAAGCUGCAACUGGCAUUGAGGCUCGAAAGUGUGGGUAUCAAACAGG